AGAGUUUGAUCAUGGCUCAGGAUGAAUGCUGGCGGCGUGCCUAACACAUGCAAGUCGAGCGGCAGCGCGAGUAGUUUACUACUUGGCGGCGAGCGGCGGACGGCUGAGUAACGCGUGGGAACGUGCCCCAAAGUGAGGGAUAACUGCUCGAAAGAGUAGCUAAUACCGCAUAUGGUCUUCGGAUUAAAGGAUUUAUCCGCUUUGGGAGCGGCCCGCGUUAGAUUAGGUAGUUGGUGGGGUAAUGGCCUACCAAGCCGACGAUCCAUAGCUGGUUUGAGAGGAUGAUCAGCCACACUGGGACUGAGACACGGCCCAGACUCCUACGGGAGGCAGCAGUGGGGA
Molecule: ribosomal RNA, 342 nt
Filed under: uncultured Candidatus Saccharibacteria bacterium
Lineage: Bacteria; Candidatus Saccharimonadota
Description: bacterial SSU rRNA
Rfam family: Bacterial small subunit ribosomal RNA
Source: RNAcentral